Molecule: ribosomal RNA, 218 nt
Filed under: Pseudomonas sp. TF7(2013)
Lineage: Bacteria; Pseudomonadati; Pseudomonadota; Gammaproteobacteria; Pseudomonadales; Pseudomonadaceae
Description: partial 16S ribosomal RNA
Rfam family: Bacterial small subunit ribosomal RNA
Source: RNAcentral
CCCCGCCCGCCGCGCGCGGCGGGCGGGGCGGGGGCACGGGGGGACUCCUACGGGAGGCAGCAGUGGGGAAUAUUGGACAAUGGGCGAAAGCCUGAUCCAGCCAUGCCGCGUGUGUGAAGAAGGCCUUCGGGUUGUAAAGCACUUUAAGUUGGGAGGAAGGGCAUUAAGUUUAAAACCGCGGCGAUUGACGUUACUGGCAGAGUAGCACGGCAUCUUGG